RNAcentral lists this unclassified non-coding RNA (2206 nucleotides) under Hevea brasiliensis (rubber tree). The record is from RNAcentral. Lineage: Eukaryota; Viridiplantae; Streptophyta; Magnoliopsida; Malpighiales; Euphorbiaceae.
AGGCUCUCUAGAAAUAUUAUAUGUGUUUGGAUUUGAUUCUCUCCAUGCCUCGCUUUCUCUCUCUAGACCAAACCAAAUCCUAAAUAAACCCCACCAUACAGAUACAGCUAUUGCAUGCCCUUUGGUUCAUUUCCCCACCCUCUCGUUGUUUUUCUCUAAAAAACAAAGCACUCCAAAACUAACUACUAAUCCAAGAAAGCGAAACGGAAGGCAUACUAGGACACUGCCUUUAAAGAUUAAAGAAAGAGCGAGGAGAAAGCAAAUCCAAGGUAUCUUCUUCAUUUUCAUUUUCAUUCAGCCAUGGCUGUAGAAGCCCGUCAUCUCAAUCUCUUCCCUUCUCAACUCUUAGGCAACAGGGAAAUAAUGAAUCAUGUUGAAGCAAAUUCAAAUAUCUACAACACCCAGAUGGGAUAUCGAUUUCCAUCAUCAGGAACGACGACAGCAGAGACUCUGCUUCCCAUGUACAGUUCAGUAAUCACAGAUUCAAUCCCUCAAAAAACACCAAUCAAAUCAGAAAGCGGCCUUACCUACACCUACAAUCUGCCUAUGCCAAGAAAACGCCCAAGAGAAUCUAUCAGUCCUCUUCUCUCAUACCCAACUCCCCAACCCAACAAGACUGCUUCUCCCUUCUCCUUUCUUGGCCUAGACCUCUCCCUUCAGAUCGAGCAACAGCAACUAGACAUCGACCGCCUUAUUUCCCAACAUGUACUUAUCUGUCAAUGUCAUCAUUUUAAUCCAAUUUUUUUAGUGUAGAUGCACUUGAGAAAUUAUACAAAUAUUGAUGAGUGAUUGGUAUUAAUUUAUUCUGAAUGUUGUAAUUGUAUAGAUGGAGAAAGUGAGGAUGGAGUUAGAAGACAAGAGAAAGAGGCAAGCGAGAAGGAUAGUAGAGGCAAUAGAGGAAGGGAUGCUUAAGAUGUUGAGGGCAAAGGAAGAAGAAAUCGAGAAGAUAGGUAAAUUAAAUUGGGCACUGGAAGAGAAGGUAAAGUCCUUGUGCAUAGAGAACCAAAUAUGGCGAGACCUUGCACAAACCAAAGAGGCCACGGCCAAUGCUCUAAGAACCAACCUCGAACAAGUCCUAGCAGCGCAGAUUAACGACGAACGCACCCGGGGCGCAGGAUUAGACAAAACGGCAGCAGAAAUGGACGAUGCCCAAUCAUGCUGUGGCAGCAGCGGUGGCGGUGAGGGGGAAAGGUCAUCGGACCGGUGUGCGUUGGGAAGUUGGGGGGUGCAGGAUAAGGACACAAGUAGUAGGCUGUGCAGGAACUGUAGGAAGGGGGAAUCGUGUGUGUUGCUAUUGCCGUGCAGGCAUCUGUGCCUCUGCAGUGUUUGUGGGUCUAGUCUCAAUACUUGCCCUAUCUGUAAAGCCACCAAGAAUGCUAGUUUCCAUGUUAACAUGUCAUGAGUUACCAAAACACCAGAGAAACAAAAAUCCAAAAAAACAUUUUCAAGAAAACGAAAAAAAAUGUUAAUUUUACAGCCAUCUUGGUUUAGUUAGAAUGAUGAUUCUUUUAUUGCAUUUACAAUUUUCAUUUGUUUUAUUUGAUUUCUGUUCCGAUUUUUGCCCAUUUGCUGGACAGAUUAUUCGUUUUAAAUACAGUGGAAAAUCAGAGAAAAUUGAAUUUUUGUAGGAGAAAAAGCUGCAAAAGAUUUGGCAAAAUAUGGAUACGGCAAAGAAGAGAAACGGAAUCAUACUGAUGCAAUUUAUGUAAAUUUAAUAUUAACAAAAAUGUGGAUAAGCAGGCGCAUUUUAGCGAGUUGGAUAGAUGAGGUUAGUUCGGGCUUUUUCAAGAGUAAAGAGAAAAAAAGACGGGAAGUGGGGGCAUGAGGAAUGUGGGACCCGGCCUCCCAGGGCACGCAUCUACGCGAAGGGAAGAUGGACAGUGAUCGGUGAGAUGGGCGUGAAUCUUACGCUCGUAUAGCAUCGCGUGGAGUCAACGAGAGGAAGAAAGCGACAGGUGUGAGGCAAAAGCUGACACGUAGGACGCGCGCAAUUGUCGCUGUUAUUGUGCAGUGGCAGUACAGUCACUCAUCUCUCUCUCUCUCGUGCGCACACCCAAACGCACGAUUUUCUUUUAUUUUACUUUUCUAUUGUCUGGUGAUGCGCUCAUUCAGAGUUCACUGUGUUUGGUGCAAACGAGGAUCUCUGCAAAAAACUUUGCCUUUUCUUCUUGUUUCUUGCUUUUACCUUAUUCUGUCUUCUCCCCCA